This 253-nucleotide ribosomal RNA is filed under the name uncultured bacterium. RNAcentral's name for it is "partial 16S ribosomal RNA". It matches the Rfam family "Bacterial small subunit ribosomal RNA", at positions 524 to 776 of the family's 1533-position model. The record is from RNAcentral.
UACGUAGGGAGCAAGCGUUGUCCGGAAUCAUUGGGCGUAAAGCGCGCGUAGGUGGCUUCGUAAGUCCGUUGUGAAAGUCAAAGGCUCAACCUUUGAAAGCCGAUGGAUACUGUGAAGCUAGAGUACGGAAGAGGCGAGUGGAAUUCCUGGUGUAGCGGUGGAAUGCGCAGAUAUCAGGAGGUACACCGGUGGCGAAGGCGGGUCUCUGGGCCGAUACUGACGCUGAGGAGCGAAAGCGUGGGGAGCGAACAGG